UACGGAGGGGGCGAGCGUUGUCCGGAUUUAUUGGGCGUAAAGGGCAUGCAGGUGGAACUUUAAGUCAGUUGUUAAAUGAUGCGGCUUAACCGUGUUCUGCAAUUGAAACUGAAGUUCUUGAGUCCGAGAGGGGACAGUGGAAUUCCUAGUGUAGCGGUGGAAUGCGUAGAUAUUAGGAAGAACACCAGCGGCGAAGGCGGCUGUCUGGCUCGGUACUGACACUCAAAUGCGAAAGCAUGGGUAGCGAACAGG
RNAcentral lists this ribosomal RNA (252 nucleotides) under uncultured bacterium. Its description in RNAcentral is "partial 16S ribosomal RNA". It matches the Rfam family "Bacterial small subunit ribosomal RNA", at positions 524 to 776 of the family's 1533-position model. The record is from RNAcentral.